GUGAAGCGGUAACAGCUCAAAUUUGAAAUCUGGGUCUUUCAGGCUCCGAGUUGUAAUUUGUAGAAGAUGCUUUGGGUGCGGCCCCGGUCUAAGUUCCUUGGAACAGGACGUCAUAGAGGGUGAGAAUCCCGUAUGUGAUCGGUGGCUUGCGCCCGUGUAAAGCUCUUUCGACGAGUCGGGUUGUUUGGGAAUGCAGCUCUAAAUGGGUGGUAAAUUUCAUCUAAAGCUAAAUAUUGGCCAGAGACCGAUAGCGCACAAGUAGAGUGAUCGAAAGAUGAAAAGGACUUUGGAAAGAGAGUUAAACAGUACGUGAAAUUGUUGAAAGGGAAGCGCUUGCAACCAGACUUGCGCGGGGUUGAUCAUCCGGGGUUCUCCCCGGUGCACUCGGCCUCGCUCAGGCCAGCAUCGGUUUCGGUGGUUGGAUAAAGGCCUUGGGAAUGUGACUUCUUUCGGGGAGUGUUAUAGCCCUCGGUGCAAUGCAGCCUACCGGGACCGAGGACCGCGCUUCGGCUAGGAUGCUGGCGUAAUGGUUGUAAGCGACCCGUCUUGAAACACGGACCAAGGAGUCUAACAUCUAUGCGAGUGUUUGGGUGUCAAACCCAUACGCGUAAUGAAAGUGAACGGAGGUGAGAACCCUUAAGGGUGCAUCAUCGACCGAUCCUGAUGUCUUCGGAUGGAUUUGAGUAAGAGCAUAGCUGUUGGGACCCGAAAGAUGGUGAACUAUGCCUGAAUAGGGUGAAGCCAGAGGAAACUCUGGUGGAGGCUCGCAGCGGUUCUGACGUGCAAAUCGAUCGUCAAAUUUGGGCAUAGGGGCGAAAGACUA
RNAcentral lists this ribosomal RNA (823 nucleotides) under Pezicula neosporulosa. Its description in RNAcentral is "eukaryotic LSU rRNA". It matches the Rfam family "Eukaryotic large subunit ribosomal RNA", at positions 93 to 933 of the family's 3401-position model. The record is from RNAcentral. Lineage: Eukaryota; Fungi; Ascomycota; Leotiomycetes; Helotiales; Dermateaceae.